UUAGUCUUAAAAUUAACCAUUAGACAAUCGAAAAUCAACGAGUUCAAAUAAUAGAAAUACAUCUCAAAAUAAUAGUCUACAAACUGCGUGCCAGAAACUAGUGUCACAAGUACUAGGGAAACUAGUAGAAUGUAUAAAAUACCACUAUCCUAUUGUCUGAAACAGAGUAGACAAUACAUAACAACAACAAAAGAAGAGAACUCUGGUAUGCUGCUGAACGGCUCAGAAGGGGCAGCUCACCGUGAGAUCUCGAUCAGGAAUCAGGAACGCGUGACGGACGGGUAACUAGAUGCACCUGCCUCAGAUCCUGUACAGUUAAGUACAUAAGAGUAAUAUGAGUACAUAAAUAAUAUGUACCCAGCAAGUAUCCAGUCUAACCUCGAAGAAGUAAUAACGAGGGGUUUACUUGACACUUACUAAGGUCAAUAUCAAUAAUAUUUAAGGUUUACGCUAAGCAUGGAUAGCAUGAAUAUAGUGACAGUCUCAGAACAAGGAGAAACAAAAUAUAUCAAUUUCAGUCAUGUCAUAUAGUAAUUUACAUUUCAAAGCAUUUAAAAAGAGUAAAUCAUGAAUGAAUUCCAUAUAAAUAACAUCUGCACAUAAUACCAAGGUCGUACGGUCUGAUUCAAUAUAAUAAUAAUUGUGCACUGCCAGAGGGUCGAAUGGCGCGAACCAUAGGUGCAUCUAUUUCUACUGAGGCGAUCGGUCUGAUCCACAAAUAGCAAUUAUUAUCAAGUAAGCACACAUUGCUCAUUUAUAGUCAAAUAAAUUCAUACAAGUUCUCAAGUAAGUACUUACAUUCGUUUAUAUUUAUUUACAACUCCUAGCAUAUCCUAGUGAACUCAGUAGCAAGCAAAAACGUAAACAUUUACAAGUAUGACAUGAUACGGGCCCUAAGCUACCCAGACAAUUAGCAUAAUAGUAGCUACGCACGGACUCUCAUCACCACGUGCGUACGUAGCCCCCACAGAUAGUCAAAUACAUUUAUUUAAUUCACCUAGAGGAGUUAUUUCCCUCUUACGAUGUUAAAAAGGAGACUCACCUUGGUCCAAAGCUUACUACCAAUUUCAAGAACGCGCUCAAACCCUCAAUUCGGAGCCGAACGAUCCAAAACUAUUCAAACGGGGUAAGAACUAGUCAAUACAAGCUCAAGAGUUCAUAUCCUAACUAUUAAAGUAAUUUUCCAAUCCUAUAUACAAGUUACCUAAAAUCCAUCUCCGGACCCACGUGCCCGGAUUCCGGAAAUUGUCGAGGGAAGUUGUUACCCAUAACCUAAGGAUAAAAAAUAUAUGAUUUUACUUCAUUCCAUAACAAAUUUCGUAGUUAAAUCGUGUUUUUAUCAAAACCCUAGGUUUUACUCUAAACCCCCAAUUUCUUACUAAUUUAUAUGUUGUAAUCUACCCCCAACUAUAUAUUAAACCCACAAUAAGUAGACAUAACUUACCUCACAAUGCUAGGCUGAAAUCCCCUCUUUGGAAGCUCCUAAAUCGCCCAAGGAAUGAAUGAAAUAUGUCAAAAAUGACACAUUCCCGUAUUAAAUGAAGGCACUGCCUUCAGCGAUUACCGCACCUGCGGUUAGGGGACCGCAUAUGCGGUCUCGCUUCUGCGAGGGAAGGACCGCAUCUGCGGAACUGAGCCGGCUAGCUGGGGCCUUAUCUACGGUCUGGGGACCGCUUCUGCGGCAGAGGGGCCGUAUCUGCGAUGGAUGGGCUGCUUUUGCGGUCUCGCACCUGCGGCUGGCCAAUCGCAGGUGCGGUUAUGACAGAUGCCUGGAGCUUCGGCUCCUUCUAAAAUUUUCUAACCUAACUCGAGCCUCAUCCGAUUGACGCUCGGGGCCCCUGAGCCCCGGCCGAACAUACUGACAAGUUUGAAAUCAUAAAAUGGACUCGCUCGAACCCUUGGAACGCCCGAAACAAUGCUAAAUCUAGGAAUCACCCCUAAAACCAAUUGAAUCAAAUUUAUGAACUUCAAGUUCUUCAGUCUACCUCCAAUAAAACGAAACACACUUAUACUACUCGGAUUGACACCAAAUUUUGCGUACAAGUCUUAAAUGACAAUACAGAACUAUUCCCGGUCUCGAAAUUCUUUUCGGACCUCGAUAUCACAAAAAGCCGCUCCAAACCAAAUUUAAAGAACUUCAAAAUCCUUAAGGAAUCAACUUUCACUAUUAAGCGCCACAACACUCCCGGGUCAUCCAAAAUCCAAUCUGAACAUACGCCCAAGUCCGAAAUAAUCAUACAAACCUAUUGGAACCACCCUCAAAUACUGAUUCUGAGGCCGUUUACUCAAAACGUUGACCGAAGUCAAACUUGGCCUUUUAAACCAACCUUCAGGAAUCAAGUGUUCCGAUUUCAACCAAAACUUUUCUAAAUCCCGAACCAACCAUCCCCGCAAGUUAUAAAUCAGUAAAAGCAAGUACGGAAAGUCUCAUUUAGGAGAACGGAGUUUUAGAAAGCAAAACGACCAAUCGGAUCGUUACGCACACUUUUUAUUGUGCAGUUCACUUUCAAUAUCAAUGCUGUAUUAUUGCUUCAAACAUAAAAGUUCAUCAUACAUGUUUCGGACAAUUCACAUUUGUUUGUUCGAUCUGAUGCGCUUAGACUGAUUCAUAGCGCUAUGGCAGAACUUAAAGAGGCCAAUAUAUUUGAGAAGCCAAUUCAGUGUUAGUUUUCUCACAUGGCUAACUUCAUGUUACACUUUUAAAAGAAAUAUCAAUGUGACCAUUGAAAUGGAUAAAAGCAAUAUAUACCAUGAAUAUUGUCUAUAAGAAGUAUUAUGUGAGAUACACUACAUUACAUAUUUGUACCCCAUAAGUCGAAAUAACUUAAAAAAGUCACAUCUACCUAAUUAAGUUUUUAUUUUAUUUUUAUAGGUUCAAACGAUAUCUAAUCAUCUUGAUCUCGAUAAAUAAGUCAAUAUAGAAAAUUUUUAUUUUGUGUCUCAUACAAUUGACACUAAUUGUAUGAGACAUAUUUUUGUCUCACAGUUUUGUGGACCCAGAUUUUUGUGGAUCCAGAAGUGUAAGAUUGGGGUCCACAAAUUUGUGAGACAAAAAGAAGUCUCACACAACUAGUGUCAGUUAUAUGAGAAACGAAAUAAAACUUGUCGUCAAUAUAUGAUGAUCCACAUGCACUUGUACUUAAUUCUUUCUUAUAUAAUAAUAUAACUCGGUAUACAUGUGCAACGCACGUGCCGAAAUACUAGUUAGUAGAAAUACGUAAAGAAGAAUAUAGUAAAUGAAAGAUAUCAACUCUUUUUUUUUCAUUUUUUUUAUUUACUAGUUUAGAGCAAAUCAAGAGAUUUAAUUUCGCGUAUGACAAAAGAAAGGAAUGAGAAAACGUACGAUUGGACCCAUCGAAGCGAACCAAUGGAGCAAUCUUCCCCUAAUUGAUUGAUAUUCUAAUUUGGAAAGUAUUUC
RNAcentral lists this long non-coding RNA (3418 nucleotides) under Nicotiana tabacum (common tobacco). RNAcentral's name for it is "long non-coding RNA (NTAB_LNC015787)". The record is from RNAcentral. Lineage: Eukaryota; Viridiplantae; Streptophyta; Magnoliopsida; Solanales; Solanaceae.